CCAGAAGGCCUCAAGGUGAAGGAGCAGGCCAAAAGGGCUCAAGGUGAAGGAGCAGGCCGGAAGGCCUCACAUAGAGGCAUCGCAGCCUCAGGUCAACAGGCCAGGGAGAGGGUCUCACGCCACAUGCAGGCGAAAAACCUCAGGCCAGCAAGAAAGCCACACGUAUGUGAGCUUCAGGGAAAGCCUUCAGCAGUGAGAGCUUCGGAACAGGAAGUCACUAGGUGCAACGGUGAACUUUAGGGAGAGGCACUGCAGCCUCAGUAGCUCUGUGUGAACGAGUUAUCCCUCCGUGAUCGAGAAGGGAAGAAAAUAGAAUAGCUGAGUGUAUGCUUGUAUUAAUGUGUUUGAAUGUGUUAUUGUAUCAGCUAGUUUGAUUUGAGUAUUUUAAUGAUUUUGCAUAUUUUAUAAGUUGCGCACUCUACAAUUAAUAUCAAAACAAUUGGUUCCAAAUCGUUUUGGUUCCAACACGAUGCCCGAGAGGACCAUGGACCUAUGAUCAUCCUUGGCGGCGCCGACGCCAAGCAUCAAUGACGUGGUCGAGAGCAGCCCGUCGUUAGCCCCAAGAAUGGCAGCCUGGAGCCACUGAGCUCGCUGCAGCAGCUCGUUACCCGAAGCGUCGGCGGUCUCGGCCUUCUCCCCUGCUCUCGACGGAGGCUGGUUCUACAUGAGGAAUCCCCAAGGUCGCAAGAUCGCAAAGCGUCCGAGUGGAUGGAGAGCGUGGCAUGCUUAUCAAAUCCACACGCCGAGCGCGUGGAGGCUAUAUAAACAACACAUGGGUUUCGAGAAGAAGAUGCAAAAUACAGAAUCUUUGAUUAGGUGAUGA
This 823-nucleotide long non-coding RNA is filed under the name Eucalyptus grandis. RNAcentral's name for it is "long non-coding RNA (EGRA_LNC007351)". The record is from RNAcentral. Lineage: Eukaryota; Viridiplantae; Streptophyta; Magnoliopsida; Myrtales; Myrtaceae.